AUGCACGCUGGCGGCGUGCCUCAUCCAUGCCAGUCGAGCGCACAGAUAAGGAGCUUGCUCCUUUGACGUUAGCGGCGGACGGGUGAGUAACACGUGGAUAACCUACCUAUAAGACUGGGAUAACUUCGGGAAACCGGAGCUAAUACCGGAUAACAUAUUGAACCGCAUGGUUCAAUAGUGAAAGGCGGCUUUGCUGUCACUUAUAGAUGGAUCCGCGCCGUAUUAGCUAGUUGGUAAGGUAACGGCUUACCAAGGCAACGAUACGUAGCCGACCUGAGAGGGUGAUCGGCCACACUGGAACUGAGACACGGUCCAGACUCCUACGGGAGGCAGCAGUAGGGAAUCUUCCGCAAUGGGCGAAAGCCUGACGGAGCAACGCCGCGUGAGUGAUGAAGGUCUUCGGAUCGUAAAACUCUGUUAUCAGGGAAGAACAAAUGUGUAAGUAACUGUGCACAUCUUGACGGUACCUGAUCAGAAAGCCACGGCUAACUACGUG
Molecule: ribosomal RNA, 496 nt
Filed under: uncultured bacterium
Lineage: Bacteria
Description: partial 16S ribosomal RNA
Rfam family: Bacterial small subunit ribosomal RNA
Source: RNAcentral